Molecule: long non-coding RNA, 552 nt
Organism: Syngnathoides biaculeatus (alligator pipefish)
Lineage: Eukaryota; Metazoa; Chordata; Actinopteri; Syngnathiformes; Syngnathidae
Exons: 4
Source: RefSeq, a predicted model, not a curated record
GCGCUCCCUGCUUCCCCGCACGUCGCGCUGGAGGUCGGCCAUCUGGCUGUUCAACGAGUCGAUCUCGUCGCAGCGGGACGUGAGCUCCUGUUGGUCCCUGCAAUGCAUCGCAAAACGAUUAUCAACUGGAGAAAGAUACCGCUGAUGCUGGUCCUGGAGCGCGGACAUCUUGUUCAGCUCGUCUCUCUGCCGCCCGAUCUCGGCUUUCUGCCUGUUGAUGAUCUCCCGGUAUUUGCUCAGCUCGUCCUCCCAGCGCGGACGCUCGUCCUCCAGGCACUUCAACUGCGGAGGGUGGCGAGCCGGUUGGAGGAGGCGUGGCGGCAGCGAUAGCGCCAUGCGGGUCCUCCAGCUCUUUGGCUUUCACGCGAUGCACCUGCAACAGCCACAAAUCUCUCAACCUCAGGAGAAUAUUGUCCAUUGACAGGUGGGCUUCCCUUCAUCCCGCCUUCUCGUUCGACUUCGGGAAGCUGACACGCCAUCAGCUCCGACUCCAGCUCGUCCAGCAGCGACUCCUGCGACAGGGACCGCUGGAUCUGAGAGAUCAGCUUCCGG